GGAGGUAGAGGCACAGCGGGUGGAUAGGGGAGCUCCGCUUCCGGCGGCAGGGUCUGGGGAAGGGGCGGCAGGCGCCAUGUCUGGCCGCGAAGGUGGCAAGAAGAAGCCCCUGAAGCAACCCAAGAAGCAGGCCAAGGAGAUGGACGAGGAAGAUAAGGCAUUCAAGCAGAAACAGAAAGAGGAGCAGAAGAAACUCGAGGAGCUAAAAGCGAAGGCCGCGGGGAAAGGCCCCCUGGCCACAGGUGGAAUUAAGAAAUCUGGCAAAAAGUAAGCCGUCCCUUGUGCCCGAGUCAAUGGUGAUCUUUAAUUCUAUUCCUGUUUAAACAUCUGGAUUCCCUGCCACAGCAUCUGUUGCCACCUAUAGCUAGAAUGAAGUGUUGUCUUAGAUCCUGUUGUACAUUUAAGAAUAAACUUUUGUAAAAAAGAAAUAAUAAAAUCAGUCAAUCGUAAGUAGCUCACGUUCUCUUAUCAUUCAGUGAUUUCUGCCUUUGUUGUGAGGUCAGAGUAAACCUAGCCCAAAAUCCUACCAGUGUGUGCUCUUCAGUCUUUGUUCUGUCCUGAACUCUGUUCCACUGGGAAUUAAACCAACUCAUUUGAA
This is a long non-coding RNA of Hyaena hyaena (striped hyena), 598 nucleotides long. RefSeq lists it as uncharacterized. The record is from RefSeq and is a predicted model, not a curated record. Lineage: Eukaryota; Metazoa; Chordata; Mammalia; Carnivora; Hyaenidae. The transcript is spliced from 4 exons.